AGCAGCCGCGGUAAUUCCAGCUCCAAUAGCGUAUAUUAAAGUUGUUGCAGUUAAAAAGCUCGUAGUUGAAUUUCGGGGUUCUACCGUUGGUCAGGCUAUUGUCUGUACUGGUGUGUAGAAUUUCUACCUUCUGGGGAACUAUCAUGUUAUUAAUUUAGCGUGGUAGGAAACCAGGACCUUUACCUUGAAAAAAUUAGAGUGUUCAAAGCAGGCUUAUGUCUGAAUACAUUAGCAUGGAAUAAUAAAAUAGGACGGUGGUCCUGUUUUGUUGGUUUCUGAAUCACCGUAAUGAUUAAUAGGGAUAGUUGGGGGCAUUAGUAUUCAAUUGUCAGAGGUGAAAUUCUUGGAUUUAUUGAAGACUAACUACUGCGAAAGCAUUUGCCAAGGAUGUUUUCAUUAAUCAAGAACGAAAGUUAGGGGAUCGAAGACGAUCAGAUACCGUCGUAGUCUUAACCAUAAACUAUGCCGACUAGGGAUCGGACGAUGUUAACUUUUCUUGACUCGUUCGGCGCCUUACGGG
This 520-nucleotide ribosomal RNA is filed under the name uncultured Scutellospora. RNAcentral describes it as "SSU rRNA". It matches the Rfam family "Eukaryotic small subunit ribosomal RNA", at positions 569 to 1094 of the family's 1831-position model. Lineage: Eukaryota; Fungi; Glomeromycota; Glomeromycetes; Diversisporales; Gigasporaceae. The record is from RNAcentral.